AUUUAUAUAAUUUAAAUUAAAAUAUUAUAAUUUCAUUAUAAAAAUAAUUAAUAUUAAUUUAUAAAUU
Molecule: transfer RNA, 67 nt
Filed under: Synergus sp. ZJUH_2016033
Lineage: Eukaryota; Metazoa; Arthropoda; Insecta; Hymenoptera; Cynipidae
Description: tRNA-Glu
Source: RNAcentral